AUUUAUUUAGUAUAUUAGUAUAUUUGACUUCCAAUCAAAAGGACUGAAAAUUUUCAGAAUAAAUA
RNAcentral lists this transfer RNA (65 nucleotides) under Ophiogomphus cecilia. Its description in RNAcentral is "tRNA-Gly". It matches the Rfam family "tRNA". From Rfam's summary of the family: Transfer RNA (tRNA) molecules are approximately 80 nucleotides in length. Their secondary structure includes four short double-helical elements and three loops (D, anti-codon, and T loops). The record is from RNAcentral. Lineage: Eukaryota; Metazoa; Arthropoda; Insecta; Odonata; Gomphidae.